Molecule: non-coding RNA, 591 nt
Organism: Physcomitrium patens
Lineage: Eukaryota; Viridiplantae; Streptophyta; Bryopsida; Funariales; Funariaceae
Source: RefSeq, a predicted model, not a curated record
CCUACGUAUUGCCUUGGCUGAACGGGUGCCCAAAUUUCCCUCGGAUUCAUCCUACUUUGCGCGAACCCAAGUUGUUGAACUCUACUUCGUUAUCAAUCUGGUCUUCGUUCUUAUGUCCAAGCGUCGGGUGGUUUAAAUGAUGAGAUUGUAUAUCAAACAGGUUUUCGAGUGUCGCAUGCUUGGCAUGAGCGAAAAAUUGAAGUGCGUCUGCGAGUGCGGGAAACUAACGUCUAGAGUUGAGGUGCUCCGCUCAUAGACAUUGGCAAUCUUGGGUUCACCAUCAUCUUGUACCUAUUUUUUCAGUACACACAUUGUAAUGCCUCAUUGUACGAAAGUACGAAUUUAGGGUGAGACCUUGCCUCAUCCUUCAAUUUCUAGGGGCAUUCACUCUUUUUCUUGUGCAGAUUCUUCCGAAAUCACUUCUUGAACCAUAGAGAAUCACGGGACCGUUUUGAUAUUGUCUUGCCGAAUAAGUGCCGAAAUGGGUAGAUUAUCUUAGGAAUAAUCCUAGUAAUUACCUUAGCAGUUACUCUUGAAAUUCAUCAUGCAUGUGAAAUCAGUAACUAAAGCACUUACUUUCAUGUGAUUUAA